AAGGAUUUAAGUUAAACAAAACUUUUGACCUUCAAAGUCAAAUAUAGACUCUGUCUAAGCCUUA
RNAcentral lists this transfer RNA (64 nucleotides) under Curculionidae sp. MT-2014. RNAcentral describes it as "tRNA-Trp". Lineage: Eukaryota; Metazoa; Arthropoda; Insecta; Coleoptera; Curculionidae. The record is from RNAcentral.